Coturnix japonica (Japanese quail) is the source of this 3191-nucleotide non-coding RNA. Lineage: Eukaryota; Metazoa; Chordata; Aves; Galliformes; Phasianidae. The record is from RefSeq and is a predicted model, not a curated record.
CAGUUUGUGGACAAAGUCCUGCCUAUCUGACAAUAUAGAUCUCCGACCACUGACCAAACUCCACUCCAAGCAGUCCCAAGGGCUGCGUUCCUUCCCCUUCCCCACACGUGUCUCUGCUCUGCCAGGAUCUCCCCACCAUUUCUGCCCCACAGCAGUGCACUCCAAUGUGCUGGACGUGGAUUUUGUGCCUUUCAGCCCUCACUUCAGCAUCUUCCUUCCUGAAGGUGGAAUGGGAACGGCCGUCUGUAGCGACCAGGAGUGUGACUGGAUGACCAGGGCUGUCCCUGAUGUCCUCAAUCUUACAAAACAACGUCCAGAGGAGCAAACAGGAGCAGCCACCACCAGGAGCUCACUGGUGGCACCUGCAGCCUAUGGACACCACAGCAGUCACCUCUGCAACACUCCUGCUUACUGCCAUGGAAAUGAAAGGCUGCAGCAGCAUGCAAGAAAACACCAUCACAUUCUCAAGCAGAGCUGAGGACAAGGUGUGCUGCUGCCCUGGAGCUGAGGAAGAGGCACUUCUCAGUGUGCUGGGAGCAUCCUCAGCUCUGCAAUGUCCAGAGCAACCUCCACCAGGCUCCAGCAAGCAGCUCUCCAGUUCCAACCAAGGCAGCUUUUCACACCAGAUCAUCCCUUUUGCUUCCUACCAGCGCUUGCUGUGUGAUCCUGCUUAGCUGCUUCUGGUUCCUGUAAACACCGACCCCCCCAGCGCUGACAUUAUGACCACCGUGAGCCAAAAGCAGUCCCAGCACAUGGCAGACCCUGCAGCCCUCGUGCAAUGGACAAGGAAUAAACAGAGCAGAAACUGUUCACCGUGUCUGACCAAAAUGCCUGAGCAGCUCUGACGUCUUGCAUUUUUCAGCUGGUUUCCAAAGCUGCUUUGCUGAGCUCGCCCCAAUUGUGCACUGCUGCCUGCUGAAAGCACCAGGGCAAGGCAUCCCUGGAACUGCAAGCUGCUACCAAAGUAAGUUGGAGUGGUGCUGGCUGUGCUGGUGUUCAGGGCUAUUGCCCUGUUUGCUGCUGUCUCAUCAGGAGAAGGAUAAAAGCAGAGAGAAGAGUUGCUGCAUCCUGAGCAUGCCCACACCCUCUCUGUCCUGCAGCCCCUGGCAGGUGCUGUUGAGGAUGCUGAACAUGCCCCAGCCCUGCCAGCCCUUUCUCCACCUCUAUUUGGAUAACUUUUUCACCCCUUUACUUUAUGAGGACUCCCCUCCUUCUGCCAACAGUCUGAGUCUCCUCUUGCUGCAGCCUGGGAGGCCUGUCUUUCUCUUUUAUUAUUAUUUUUCUAUCUCCCCCUCGCGAGGCCCCAGCUCGGCAGCCCGGCCCCAGGACAGACGUGCGAGCUGUGUCUGCAUGGAGCACGCCUUUGUUUGUGCACCGAAACAGAUGGGGAGAGGGCACACACAGGUGGGAUGUGCAGAGAUCCUUCCCAAGCUGCCCCACAGCACCUGGCUCACCCCAUGGCCAUCCCUCAGUCCGGUCCCCUGUCAGUGUGUACCUGCCUAUGCUUGAGAUUGCCAAUGUACCAGGGCUGGCAAACAGCAGCUCACCCAGAGCCAGAAGCAAACGGAUGUCACAACUUAACUGUAAGUGAUCCAACAGCUUGUUCAGCUCCUUGAGGAUCAGCAGCCUGCAGGGGCUGUCUCUCGCUGCAGAAAUGUGGAUGUCUCUGUACUGCAGGGCAGGUGACACUCUGGUUUGGGGACACCCAGACCUGCCACCUCACUCUGUGCUGUCACAUCCCCUGGCUGUGACAUCCAAGUCCUUCUGCUGAAAUGAGCAUGAGCAUCCUAUUGCACUGUGACCCCAGGGGCAGAGCCCCUUCCUCUCCCAUGGGCACCCAGCCUUCCUUUUGCUCACUCACAGUUUUCAUUGCAUGUCUCCUUGCACACUACCAAAGCAGUGCCAGCUGGACGCACCAUCACCAGCUGCACCAACCAGACAGAAAGCUGAGCAUUUCUCUGAGCCUGCUUUUAUGUGAGAGCUCCCAGCCUGCUGCUGGCUCCUGUGGGACGGCAGCAGCCCCAGCGCUCCUGCAUGCUGAGGACUUACAAAGAAAUGAGCAACAUGGCAGAAAUGAGUAAACCAAAGGGCUUCACAGCUGUUACAUUUCUCCUGUUCUCUGUAGCUCUGCACACCGUGCUCAGCCCAGUUUAACCCAGGGCUGCUAGUGCAUAUCCUGUGCAAUUCCUACACAUUUCCAUUGAGAUGGGCCACCACCACCACCACACUCCACUGCAUGAGCUCCAGCACGGGGCUGAGUUAGGGCUGUCCCUGAAGCAGGGAUAUCCCCAGUCUUCCCUUUGGAGAUGCAGGGAGUGAGGCUAAGCAUCCUCAGGUCUGGAACCAGAAGCACCAGCACCCAAAACAUGGCCAUGAGCAACCACAGGCUGGUGGGGCUGUGUGCUUGGGAAGGGCAUGGGGCAAGGGAGAGGAGGAGCAGAAUGCCAAAGUAGAGCAAGGAGAGGCAAGGUGGUGUGAUGGAAAGGCAUAGAGAUGUGAUGGAAAGCUGUGGGGAUGUGGUAGAGAGCCACGAGGAAGUGCUAAGAGAGCCACAGAGAUGUGAUAAGAGAACACUGGAGGUGUGACAGAGAGCACUGUAACUACGAGACCUCAUCUGCUGGGCUCUUGCUCUGCACCCUGGGGUCUGGGAUUCCUGGGUCACACAGGUCUGUACCAGCCAUGGCCCCUCAGCUCCCAGGGAAGCUGCAGCACAGGUGCUUUUGAAUGCAGUGGUUAUCAGCAGGGUGAUGACAACCUUGGCAGGGGCUUCUCUCCCCUGGUGUCCACGUGCAUUUGUUGGCAGUUGGCAUCCAGCCCAGCAAUUGAGAGCAGCAGCCAGGGGCUGCCCUGGUACCUGGGGCAGAGCGUGCUGCCUGGUGCCUUGCACCACAGAGCCUCAAAGCUGCCGUUUUCUCAGGCACUAAAAUCCGCUCUGGGAGCCCUCCUCAGCAUCACCCCAUCCCAUCCCUUUGCACCAUCCCUGCUCCCACAGCCAGGGCACACUGCAGAACACACAGCUUUUACCUCCAGGCUGGCUUUGUGACCUGGGGCAGCACACCAACUGCUUGCAGACUGCAUGACUUGUGCUGAGAACCCUCUCCUUAUCCAGGGCAAGCAGCCCCUCUGCAAGCAAGUCAGCCUCGCUCCGCUCCCUCCAAGCACCUUCCUUCUUCAAGCCCAGCAGAGUGAAA